Molecule: transfer RNA, 71 nt
Filed under: bovine gut metagenome
Rfam family: tRNA
About the family: Transfer RNA (tRNA) molecules are approximately 80 nucleotides in length.
Source: RNAcentral
GAGUUUAGCUCAGCUGGUUCAGAGCACUUGCCUUACAAGCAAGGGGUCACUGGUUCGAAUCCAGUAACUCC